Molecule: long non-coding RNA, 833 nt
Filed under: Pogona vitticeps (central bearded dragon)
Lineage: Eukaryota; Metazoa; Chordata; Lepidosauria; Squamata; Agamidae
Description: lncRNA (ENSPVIG00000000183.1)
Source: RNAcentral
GUUAGUUGGCUAAAGCAGCUCCCCCUGUACAUGUUUUUCCUUGUAACAGGUGUGUGAAUAUAAUGAUGAGUCUUUCCCAGUCAGAAGAAGCCAUUGGCCGGUUCAGUGAACUGAGUGACUCUAGAAUUUAUUAAGCCAAGGCCUUUCAUAGCCCAGGUAACAUUCUGCUCCACAGUUCCAUCUCCAUUUAAAGGCAUUAGAUAUACUGGGCUAUUGCCCUGCACCUUCAAACCACAGUAAAUAAAUGCAGCUAAGUGCCACCAAGAGUGAAAGAGCUUAUAAUGAGAAGUGUGAAUAGACGUCCAUGCCAUUCAUCAUUCUACUCAGUCCAAUAUUGGGGCUCGUUUUUAUCAGCGGUAUCCGAAGUAGUGUCAUCACCUCUGGAGCAGUAGAUGUACAUGAAGCAGCAUCUUUUCAUGGCACAAUGGCAGUGGAACAUCCUGCUGGAAGAUAUUAUCUGACAUCAAAUGUUCACCUUUUAAUGAACACCUGAUUAUUUCAGCAGGCUUUCGAAGGAAUUUCAAAAAUACUUGAUAAAAUGGAUUCUUUUUUUAAAAAAGAUUCUUAUUUUUGAUUGCUCUUCUGGUUUCCAUUUUCAAACUACAAUCCUAAAGGUACAUCUUAGGGAAUAAGCCCCAUUGAACACACUUACUUCUGAGAAAAUACACGUAACAUUGUUCUCUUAAUUGCAGUUUACUCAUGCUUUUAAAUAUAUAUUUAAACAUCUUUUAAUAUGUAUUCUGCUUGCCACAUUAAGCAUUUUUCUUUAUGAAAGGCAGUGUGUAUAUAUAAAAACAAAUAAAAUGGUUUAUUGUUUUAAAAAAGAAGAUUCA